AAAUUGAAGAGUUUGAUCAUGGCUCAGAUUGAACGCUGGCGGCAGGCCUAACACAUGCAAGUCGAACGGUAACAGGAAGCAGCUUGCUGCUUCGCUGACGAGUGGCGGACGGGUGAGUAAUGUCUGGGAAGCUGCCUGAUGGAGGGGGAUAACUACUGGAAACGGUAGCUAAUACCGCAUAAUGUCGCAAGACCAAAGAGGGGGACCUUCGGGCCUCUUGCCAUCGGAUGUGCCCAGAUGGGAUUAGCUUGUUGGUGGGGUAACGGCUCACCAAGGCGACGAUCCCUAGCUGGUCUGAGAGGAUGACCAGCCACACUGGAACUGAGACACGGUCCAGACUCCUACGGGAGGCAGCAGUGGGGAAUAUUGCACAAUGGGCGCAAGCCUGAUGCAGCCAUGCCGCGUGUAUGAAGAAGGCCUUCGGGUUGUAAAGUACUUUCAGCGGGGAGGAAGGGAGUAAAGUUAAUACCUUUGCUCAUUGACGUUACCCGCAGAAGAAGCACCGGCUAACUCCGUGCCAGCAGCCGCGGUAAUACGGAGGGUGCAAGCGUUAAUCGGAAUUACUGGGCGUAAAGCGCACGCAGGCGGUUUGUUAAGUCAGAUGUGAAAUCCCCGGGCUCAACCUGGGAACUGCAUCUGAUACUGGCAAGCUUGAGUCUCGUAGAGGGGGUAGAAUUCCAGGUGUAGCGGUGAAAUGCGUAGAGAUCUGGAGGAAUACCGGUGGCGAAGGCGGCCCCCUGGACGAAGACUGACGCUCAGGUGCGAAAGCGUGGGGAGCAAACAGGAUUAGAUACCCUGGUAGUCCACGCCGUAAACGAUGUCGACUUGGAGGUUGUGCCCUUGAGGCGUGGCUUCCGGAGCUAACGCGUUAAGUCGACCGCCUGGGGAGUACGGCCGCAAGGUUAAAACUCAAAUGAAUUGACGGGGGCCCGCACAAGCGGUGGAGCAUGUGGUUUAAUUCGAUGCAACGCGAAGAACCUUACCUGGUCUUGACAUCCACGGAAGUUUUCAGAGAUGAGAAUGUGCCUUCGGGAACCGUGAGACAGGUGCUGCAUGGCUGUCGUCAGCUCGUGUUGUGAAAUGUUGGGUUAAGUCCCGCAACGAGCGCAACCCUUAUCCUUUGUUGCCAGCGGUCCGGCCGGGAACUCAAAGGAGACUGCCAGUGAUAAACUGGAGGAAGGUGGGGAUGACGUCAAGUCAUCAUGGCCCUUACGACCAGGGCUACACACGUGCUACAAUGGCGCAUACAAAGAGAAGCGACCUCGCGAGAGCAAGCGGACCUCAUAAAGUGCGUCGUAGUCCGGAUUGGAGUCUGCAACUCGACUCCAUGAAGUCGGAAUCGCUAGUAAUCGUGGAUCAGAAUGCCACGGUGAAUACGUUCCCGGGCCUUGUACACACCGCCCGUCACACCAUGGGAGUGGGUUGCAAAAGAAGUAGGUAGCUUAACCUUCGGGAGGGCGCUUACCACUUUGUGAUUCAUGACUGGGGUGAAGUCGUAACAAGGUAACCGUAGGGGAACCUGCGGUUGGAUCACCUCCUUA
Molecule: ribosomal RNA, 1541 nt
Filed under: Escherichia coli
Lineage: Bacteria; Pseudomonadati; Pseudomonadota; Gammaproteobacteria; Enterobacterales; Enterobacteriaceae
Description: bacterial SSU rRNA
Rfam family: Bacterial small subunit ribosomal RNA
Source: RNAcentral